UCCUCCCCAUUUCCCUCCUACACUCCCCAGCGAUACCCUCUCGCCAACGGCUCCAUCGUUCUCCUCUCGCCGACUCGCAGCCCCUCGCCGGAUUCUGAGUGAUGGCCGUGCGUGGUGGUUAGAGUCGGACUGUUGUGAGGUUGAGGGGGUGGUGGUUGUGAGGACCCCGUAGCAUAUCUUCUCUUCAGAGUCGUCGUAGCACACGCGAAGAGAGCUGCUUAUAGAGCCAGUCUAAAUCCCUAGCCAUGUCAAGAGUUGCUUGAGGUCGUGGAAUAGGAGAGGAGCCUUAGAUUUACUCCACCAAGAAAUGCUACGAUAUUUCAUCAUCCCACACUUGGGGAUUCUGAAUUACAGCAUUUGCUAGUGGGUGCAAAUGAUGCUGAACUUGAAGAACGGAUUUUACAACACUUUGCUGCUGCUGCAAUGGGAAGGGCUCACCACAUUGCCAGGAGGGAUGGCCUGAGAAGUCGAUCAUCUGCCAAUGGCCAUCCACUCCUUUUUGGUAUUUUCAGAGACAGUUUGCUCUCGUUAUCAAACCGUCUAUGGUUUUAGGGAAACCAUCGACAGUUUCAGUUUGCAGCAGGAAUAACUCUCGGCAUUAAACUGUAGACGAUUUGCCUGAAACCAUCGAUGGUUUCGUUCUGCAUAGAUAACAGAAUUUGAA
Molecule: long non-coding RNA, 664 nt
Organism: Malania oleifera
Lineage: Eukaryota; Viridiplantae; Streptophyta; Magnoliopsida; Santalales; Ximeniaceae
Exons: 3
Source: RefSeq, a predicted model, not a curated record